Molecule: unclassified non-coding RNA, 329 nt
Filed under: soil metagenome
Description: partial contains 5.8S ribosomal RNA, internal transcribed spacer 2, and large subunit ribosomal RNA
Rfam family: 5.8S ribosomal RNA (bases 1-120)
Source: RNAcentral
GAUGAAGAACGUAGCGAAAUGCGAUAAGUAAUGUGAAUUGCAGAAUUCAGUGAAUCAUCGAAUCUUUGAACGCACAUUGCGCCCCCUGGUAUUCCGGGGGGCAUGCCUGUCCGAGCGUCAUUAUAACCACUCAAGCUCUCGCUUGGUAUUGGGGUUCGCGGUUUCGCGGCCCCUAAAAUCAGUGGCGGUGCCUGUCGGCUCUACGCGUAGUAAUACUUCUCGCGAUUGAGUUCGAUAGGUCUACUUGCCAGUAACCCCCAAUUUUUACAGGUUGACCUCGGAUCAGGUAGGGAUACCCGCUGAACUUAAGCAUAUCAAUAAGCGGAGGA